GGAAUAUUGGACAAUGGAGGCAACUCUGAUCCAGCCAUGCCGCGUGCAGGAAGACUGCCCUAUGGGUUGUAAACUGCUUUUAUACAGGAAGAAACAGCUCUACGUGUAGAGCCUUGACGGUACUGUAAGAAUAAGGAUCGGCUAACUCCGUGC
Molecule: ribosomal RNA, 153 nt
Filed under: uncultured bacterium
Lineage: Bacteria
Description: partial 16S rRNA
Rfam family: Bacterial small subunit ribosomal RNA
Source: RNAcentral